Molecule: small nucleolar RNA, 126 nt
Organism: Grammomys surdaster
Lineage: Eukaryota; Metazoa; Chordata; Mammalia; Rodentia; Muridae
Product: small nucleolar RNA SNORA17
Exons: 1
Source: RefSeq, a predicted model, not a curated record
CCUGCCCCUAGAGGUGUUACAGGUGUGACUGCUGCGUGAUGAGUGUCAGGAGGUGGCAGAAUGGAGAGAGGGCAUAUCUUUGCUCAGUGUUCUGACCUAGGAACAUCUGGUUAGUUGCUUAACUUU